CUAUCAUGCCAUCCUAGCUGUAUGUUUCCAGCUUUUUUUUAUUUCUCAUUUUUAAUUUAUUUAUUUGUUUCUGUACCUGCCAGCCAGUUGUUUUUGACGUUAGCCUUUUGCCCGCUCCCUUUUUGCCUUUUCGCCUUGUGCUCCUGCCUUCCUGUUACAAACCACUGCCUGCUGACCUCUCCCCCUUGCCCUGGCCCUUACCUGCCCUUGCCAUUCACUUUUUACAAAAGUGAACAGUUUGAACUUUUAAUCAGCGUCCCUGAGUCCUGCGUUUGAGCCCAGUGUUUUCUGAGCCGUGACAAUCACCGCUGACAGCUGUUGCAGUAAUGGGUUUGUUAGCAGGGAUGGCUGAACAUGCCAUGGACACUACUUUUUUCUUGUGGAGUUUUUGAGGGCACUAUGUAGUGGAUACAUUUACACACUCAGAAUUCGGACACUCAAGUUUACUGGGGGAAGUGUCCAUCCUGAAGCAGCUCGGAGUUAUGCGUCGCGGCCAACAGCGGCACGAAUUAGCACACAUAGUGUCUCCUUCUCCUCAUCUUGGACAAGAGACGCGCACUCACACGAAGGCUAUUAGACCGUGAAUGCAGGCAGUGCUGGAUCUACUUUAUCUUCCUCGUGGAGGCGGAUGUGUGCUCACACGCAAGUGCCCAUACACACCUGGACACACAAACACACACAAGCCGGGGGACAGUGCAUGCCUGCCUCAAUGCACAACCAUUCUGAUAAAGUGACAUGCAUCGACGGUCUGCCAAGAACAUAAAAGCACAAAGAAAUGCAGGCGCACACACACACACUCACACACACACUCUUGUUCUACCAUAAACAUGAGGACCCUCUAUGACUACAUUCAUUUCCCUAACCCCUUAAACAUUGUUAAACCUUGUUUCCACGUCAAUUUUCUACUAAACCAAAUCAAACUGUGACUACAUUUAAUAAAGUGUGUUACUACGGAGCCUCUUGUAUGUGGUUUGGCCGUUUUUACGGUACUCGGAAACUCCCCUGGGAGCUAACAGGGAACUCCAAAUAUCACCUGGAGGCAAAGAAGCUUGUCAAAACCCAGCCACUGGUUCUGCAGUGAAAAAUUAAAGCAAAAUAAAUGAGAAUACAUUUCAUCACUGCCUCUAACGUCUCCCCUACCACAACAUUGGCUCUUCAAUCAGAUUUAAGAUCCUAGGGGACAGUGCUUUGGUUUUCAGGACUCCUCGGCUUCGGAACGACCUUGUGAAAAAAUCUCUUGCUAAAAAUUGAUUUUACUGGUUGAUCUUGAUUGAAUAACUUUAACCUUUUUUUUUUUUUUUAAUUUUUAGCUUAUGUAGUCAGGUACAUCAAGUAAUUUGUAAAGUUUGUUUUGAAAUAUUUAAACGUAUACGUAUGCAUGUAUCAAAAGUAUCAAAGCAGAGUUAAACUAGGUACAAACGGAAAACAACUGUCUGUAGAUAA
Long non-coding RNA from Xiphias gladius (swordfish), 1443 nucleotides. RefSeq lists it as uncharacterized. The record is from RefSeq and is a predicted model, not a curated record. Lineage: Eukaryota; Metazoa; Chordata; Actinopteri; Istiophoriformes; Xiphiidae. The transcript is spliced from 3 exons.